GUGAGUCAUCGAAUCUUUGAACGCACAUUGCACCCUCUGGUAUUCUGGAGGGUAUGCCUGUUUGAGUGUCAUUUAAAUGCGUCAACACAGACCAAGCUCCACCACACACGGUGACUUGCUCUGCUGCUUUUGGAUGUUGAAGGCCUGCUGGCGAGCAGUCAGCUCCUUUUAAAUUCAUUAGCGGGACAACUUGCACUUUAGCUGGUCUGCAGUUUGAUAAAUUGAACUGCUGUCCGGUGUGUACCGAGAAGUUCCUGCUUCCAACCGUCCAGUGGAUCUGGACUGUCUCACUCUUUUGAG
RNAcentral lists this unclassified non-coding RNA (300 nucleotides) under uncultured Agaricales. Its description in RNAcentral is "sequence contains 5.8S rRNA gene, ITS2". The stretch from base 1 to 71 matches the Rfam family "5.8S ribosomal RNA", at positions 84 to 154 of the family's 154-position model. The record is from RNAcentral. Lineage: Eukaryota; Fungi; Basidiomycota; Agaricomycetes; Agaricales.